UGGUGAUGAUUUCUAUGUACUACCCAUGGU
RNAcentral lists this non-coding RNA (30 nucleotides) under Mus musculus (house mouse). The record is from RNAcentral. Lineage: Eukaryota; Metazoa; Chordata; Mammalia; Rodentia; Muridae.